RNAcentral lists this unclassified non-coding RNA (200 nucleotides) under fungal sp. Its description in RNAcentral is "partial internal transcribed spacer 2". The record is from RNAcentral. Lineage: Eukaryota; Fungi.
UUAAGUUCAGCGGGUAAUCCUACCUGAUUUGACAACAACUUGCAAGAUUGUGAUUUCCGCAAAGGAAGGAUUCUGCUCAUGACAGUCCGAUGAAACAUAUUCUAUCACAUCAGAGCUGGAUCAUAAGUAGACUCACAUGACUGAUUUCAAGAGACUUUGAAUGAAAACUCAAAGAGACCUCCCAGUUGUCGGUCCAGCUA